Molecule: ribosomal RNA, 1345 nt
Filed under: uncultured bacterium
Lineage: Bacteria
Description: bacterial SSU rRNA
Rfam family: Bacterial small subunit ribosomal RNA
Source: RNAcentral
GAUGAACGCUAGCGGGAGGCCUAACACAUGCAAGCCGAGCGGUAGAGAUCUUUCGGGAUCUUGAGAGCGGCGUACGGGUGCGGAACACGUGUGCAACCUGCCUUUAUCUGGGGGAUAGCCUUUCGAAAGGAAGAUUAAUACCCCAUGAUAUGUUGGAUGGCAUCAUUCGACAUUGAAAACUCCGGUGGAUAGAGAUGGGCACGCGCAAGAUUAGGUAGUUGGUGAGGUAACGGCUCACCAAGUCUGCGAUCUUUAGGGGGCCUGAGAGGGUGAUCCCCCACACUGGUACUGAGACACGGACCAGACUCCUACGGGAGGCAGCAGUGAGGAAUAUUGGACAAUGGGUGAGAGCCUGAUCCAGCCAUCCCGCGUGAAGGACGACGGCCCUAUGGGUUGUAAACUUCUUUUGUAUAGGGAUAAACCUACUCUCGUGAGAGUAGCUGAAGGUACUAUACGAAUAAGCACCGGCUAACUCCGUGCCAGCAGCCGCGGUAAUACGGAGGGUGCAAGCGUUAUCCGGAUUUAUUGGGUUUAAAGGGUCCGUAGGCGGAUCUGUAAGUCAGUGGUGAAAUCUCACAGCCUAACUGUGAAACUGCCAUUGAUACUGCAGGUCUUGAGUGUUGUUGAAGUAGCUGGAAUAAGUAGUGUAGCGGUGAAAUGCAUAGAUAUUACUUAGAACACCAAUUGCGAAGGCAGGUUACUAAGCAACAACUGACGCUGAUGGACGAAAGCGUGGGGAGCGAACAGGAUUAGAUACCCUGGUAGUCCACGCCGUAAACGAUGCUAACUCGUUUUUGGGCUUUCGGGUUCAGAGACUAAGCGAAAGUGAUAAGUUAGCCACCUGGGGAGUACGAACGCAAGUUUGAAACUCAAAGGAAUUGACGGGGGCCCGCACAAGCGGUGGAUUAUGUGGUUUAAUUCGAUGAUACGCGAGGAACCUUACCAAGGCUUAAAUGGGAAAUGACAGGUUUAGAAAUAGACUUUUCUUCGGACAUUUUUCAAGGUGCUGCAUGGUUGUCGUCAGCUCGUGCCGUGAGGUGUUAGGUUAAGUCCUGCAACGAGCGCAACCCCUGUCACUAGUUGCCAUCAUUAAGUUGGGGACUCUAGUGAGACUGCCUACGCAAGUAGAGAGGAAGGUGGGGAUGACGUCAAAUCAUCACGGCCCUUACGCCUUGGGCCACACACGUAAUACAAUGGCCGGUACAGAGGGCAGCUACACAGCGAUGUGAUGCAAAUCUCGAAAGCCGGUCUCAGUUCGGAUUGGAGUCUGCAACUCGACUCUAUGAAGCUGGAAUCGCUAGUAAUCGCGCAUCAGCCAUGGCGCGGUGAAUACGUUCCCGGGCCU